This 429-nucleotide unclassified non-coding RNA is filed under the name soil metagenome. RNAcentral's name for it is "partial contains 5.8S ribosomal RNA, internal transcribed spacer 2, and large subunit ribosomal RNA". The stretch from base 1 to 120 matches the Rfam family "5.8S ribosomal RNA", at positions 35 to 154 of the family's 154-position model. The record is from RNAcentral.
GAUGAAGAACGCAGCGAAAUGCGAUACGUAAUGUGAAUUGCAGAAUUCAGUGAAUCAUCGAAUCUUUGAACGCAUAUUGCGCUCUUUGGUAUUCCGAAGAGCAUGCUUGUUUGAGUAUCAGUAAACACCUCAAAGACUUCAAUUUGUUUUGAAUGGCCUUGGACUUGAGCAAUCCCAACACCAGUCUUUACGAUCGGUGGAGGGUUGCUUGAAAUGCAGGUGCAGCUGGACAUUCUCCUGAGCUAAAAGCAUAUUUAUUUAGUCCCGUCAAACGGAUUAUUACUUUUGCUGCAGCUAACAUAAAGGGAGUUUGACCGUAUUGGCUGACUGAUGCAGGAUUUCACAAGGGUCGGCAACGAUUCUUGUAAAACUCGAUCUCAAAUCAAGUAAGACUACCCGCUGAACUUAAGCAUAUCAAUAAGCGGAGGA